GGACACUUUUAUCUCCGGUUUAAACCAAGCAAAAUAAAAAUACAACCUACCCUUUGGGGGAUGGGGGAAAGAACCUGCCACCACAAAACCUAAGAGUGGCACAAGUGGCCUUUUCUCAUUGCUAUUUACAUCCCUGGGUGUUUCCACCAUUGCAGAACCAGAGACUUAACACAAAGAAACCUGCUGCCAAAAUACUGUGCAGUUUCCCAGGUUGCUAUUGUCUGCUUUUUCUAACCAGGAUCGGGCAGCUCCUAGGGUGCAGGAAGCCAACCAUGGCUGAACUUUGCUCUAGUUUCAAAAUGUAAAUGAGCAAGUAGCAGGAGGAAGUGCCCAGAAACAGAUCUGAGCUGUCAACCCCAGGGGAGCCCCAAGCGGCUACUCCCAGGGAGGGAGGAGGGAGGCCCCGGGGGAGGGCGACCCUGAAGGCUGGGAAACAGGUUUGCAUGUUCGAAAGCAAAUUGCCCAGGUCUCUGGGGCGGAUUGCACAAUCUUGCAAUCUUCCAAGCAAGAGAGGAAGAAAGGAGAGCCGGGGUGUGGGGAUCAGGCCAGUUUUUAUACGCGAUCUUGUCUAAACAAGACUCUUAUCGAAGAGUAAUCCUAAACGCUGGCCUUUCUUAAUACCUCAGCUCCCUGGGGAAUGGGUAUGUGACUUUUGAGUUCCAGGAGGGGGAUUAAAUUGCCUCUUGGAGAUGAGAGCCCCACAUGAGCAGAUAAGGUUGAUAGAAAUGGCGGGGGAGGGGGGAUUCUCUUGUGUCCCAUGGGGAUGGUCUUCCAGAUCCAUUAUCUUCCGCUGCACAAGGGGUGCUGGAGACAGAAGAAAGCUGAUGUCUACUUACAGAGCAGCCUUUGGGGGGCGCAGCCCUGGGCUGCAGGUGCUGAGGAGGGGGUGGGAGACGGAGGAAGGGGCCUCGCUGGCUCUGCAAGGAUCAGCUGAACAGGUGCAGGGCCUUAAGUUUUACUUCUAUUUAUUUAUUUAUUUUAUCUUUUGUCUUUUUAGGGCCACACCCGCAGCAUAUGGAGGUUCCCAGUCUAGGGGUUGAAUGGGAGCUGUAGCCACCAGCCUACACAUGCCACAGCCACAGCAAUGUGGGAUCCGAGUGGCAUCUGCGACCUACACCACAGUCCACAUCAAUGCUGGAUCUUUAACCCAUUGAUGGAGGCCAAGGAUCAAACCUGCAUCCUCAAGGAUACUAGUCAGAUUGGUUUCUGCUGAGCCAUGAUGGGAACUCCUAAUUUUUAUUUUUUUAUUUUUUAUUUUUACUUUUGUCUUUUUAGGGCUGUACCUGUGGCAUAUGAAAGAUCCCAUGCUAGGGGCCAAAUAGGAGCUGCAGCUGCCACCUAAGCCACAGCCAUAGCAACUCCAGAUCCAAGUUGCAUCUGCAAACUACACCACAGCUCAUGAAAAUCCUGGAUCCUUAACCCACUGAGCAAGGCCAGCAUAGUCAUGGAUACUAGUCAGGUUCAUAACCGCUGAGCCAUGAAGGGAACUCCUAAGUUUUAAAGCUCGAUUAAAUCACUAUAAUGUGCCUCACACCCUGUUGCAUGCUCCAGAAAAAAAACUCAAAUAGUUGACAUAUAAUUAAAUGUGUAAUUAGUCUACCAAGUUCACAGCACCAAGAUAGUGUUAGGGAAG
RNAcentral lists this long non-coding RNA (1633 nucleotides) under Sus scrofa (pig). Its description in RNAcentral is "lncRNA (ENSSSCG00005008813.1)". Lineage: Eukaryota; Metazoa; Chordata; Mammalia; Artiodactyla; Suidae. The record is from RNAcentral.